GACGAACGCUGGCGGCGUGCUUAACACAUGCAAGUCGAACGGAAAGGCCCUGCUUUUGUGGGGUGCUCGAGUGGCGAACGGGUGAGUAACACGUGAGUAACCUGCCCUUGACUUUGGGAUAACUCCAGGAAACUGGGGCUAAUACCGGAUAGGAGCUCCUGCUGCAUGGUGGGGGUUGGAAAGUUUCGGCGGUUGGGGAUGGACUCGCGGCUUAUCAGCUUGUUGGUGGGGUAGUGGCUUACCAGGGCUUUGACGGGUAGCCGGCCUGAGAGGGUGACCGGCCACAUUGGGACUGAGGUACGGCGCAGACGCCUACGGGAGGCAGCAGUGGGGAAUAUUGCACAAUGGGCGGAAGCCUGAUGCAGCAACGCCGCGUGCGGGAUGACGGCCUUCGGGUUGUAGACCGCUUUCGCCUGUGACGAAGCGUGAGUGACGGUAAUGGGUAAAGAAGCACCGGCUAACUACGUG
This 468-nucleotide ribosomal RNA is filed under the name uncultured bacterium. Its description in RNAcentral is "partial 16S ribosomal RNA". It matches the Rfam family "Bacterial small subunit ribosomal RNA", at positions 28 to 507 of the family's 1533-position model. The record is from RNAcentral.